This 622-nucleotide ribosomal RNA is filed under the name Cryptendoxyla hypophloia. RNAcentral's name for it is "eukaryotic LSU rRNA". It matches the Rfam family "Eukaryotic large subunit ribosomal RNA", at positions 41 to 687 of the family's 3401-position model. Lineage: Eukaryota; Fungi; Ascomycota; Sordariomycetes; Cephalothecales; Cephalothecaceae. The record is from RNAcentral.
UAUCAAUAAGCGGAGGAAAAGAAACCAACAGGGAUUGCCCCAGUAACGGCGAGUGAAGCGGCAAUAGCUCGAAUUUGAAAUCUGGCCUAGGCCCGAGUUGUAAUCUGUAGAGGAUGCUUUUGGCGCGGUGCCUUCCGAGUUCCCUGGAACGGGACGCCACAGAGGGUGAGAGCCCCGUAUGGUCGGACACCAAGCCUCUGUAAAGCUCCUUCGACGAGUCGAGUAGCUUGGGAAUGCUGCUCUAAAUGGGAGGUAAACUUCUUCUAAAGCUAAAUACCGGCUAGAGACCGAUAGCGCACAAGUAGAGUGAUCGAAAGAUGAAAAGCACUUUGAAAAGAGGGUUAAACAGUACGUGAAAUUGUUGAAAGGGAAGCGCUUGUGACCAGACUUGCGCCGGGCUGAUCAUCCAGCGGUCUCCGCUGGUGCACUCGGUCCGGCUCAGGCCAGCGUCGGUUGUCGCGGGGGGAUAAAAGCCUAGGGAAUGUAGCUCCUUCCGGGGAGUGUUAUAGCCCUCCGCAGAAUAUCCCCGCGGCGACCGAGGUCCGCGCCCUGCAAGGACGCUGGCGUAAUGGUCAUCAGCGACCCGUCUUGAAACACGGACCAAGGAGUCGAGGUUUUGCGC